AAAAAAAAGACCAUUGAAAAAAUCUCACAGAGAAGAGACUCACGCUGCUGAAAUCAGGGAUUCAGCUGUACUUUCAAUCCUCGUUUUACUGCAGUUGUUGUCAUUUACCUCAGAAUCAACGUCAGCUUUUAAAUGCUAAAAUAUAAUUAGUUAAUCUCGAUUUUUCGGGUAAAAUCAGGUCCAUCUGUAUGGAAAGGUGUUUUCGUUUGAGCACAUCGUGUUUGUUUGGUGUGGCAUGCUCAAUGUCACACACAUAAACAAAAGAUUCACGAACCCGCUCCUUGAAGUCAGCACUGUCUGUAUCUGGUCUGUUUACUUCAGUCGCAGCUGAAUCCACCGUGAAUACAACAAGUCGGUAAGAGCCAAGUGGAGGCUGGAGGAAAUUGCUUCAUCUGUAGAGUGGUUUGGACGGUAUGCAAACUGAAGCGUAUCGAGUGUUUUGGGGACAACUCCCUGGCUCAGCGAGGAUAUUGAAGAUAUCUGUUCGGUCAUCUGUCAGCUGUUCGGCACAGUCUCUCUCACGUCCAGGUAUGUCGUCAGGACCCACAGCCUUGCACGGGUUAAUCCUAGAUAGGGUUUUACGUUGGCUGGAGAAGUGAGGAAGACUGUAAAAUGCUGUUGGCGAUGCCGCCCAUUCCAUUGCUCACUGUAAUGCCGAGGUGAUGCGCGCCAGUGGGACGGAGGCCUGCGUCAGUCUGCUAUCCAUUGCCAGGCUCACUCGUGCUCGAGCCCUCAGCACCAACUGGAACCAAGAGCUCAGACUCGCUUUGUGCCCGUUUCAUCCAGACAGAGAGGGGUUUGUGAUGAGAGAAGGGGCAGCUGUGCUCCUUUAAGAGGAAUAUGGACAUGCCAAGCAGAGAGGUGCACGGGUGUAUGCUGAGGUGCUGGGAUAUGGACUAUCUGGAGACACCAGCCACAUCACGGCGCCAACCGCAGAUGGAGACGGAGCCUUUCGGUAAUACUGAUUUACCCAGUGGCAUACAAAUAAACACUACGCUAUUUUGAUUGCAUCACAACACAACAUAAAUUAUGUUCAACUUUAUCUGAAGACAGACAGCCUUAUUAACAAUAGU
Long non-coding RNA from Carassius auratus (goldfish), 1073 nucleotides. RefSeq lists it as uncharacterized. The record is from RefSeq and is a predicted model, not a curated record. Lineage: Eukaryota; Metazoa; Chordata; Actinopteri; Cypriniformes; Cyprinidae. The transcript is spliced from 3 exons.